This 249-nucleotide long non-coding RNA is filed under the name Elaeis guineensis (African oil palm). Its description in RNAcentral is "long non-coding RNA (EGUI_LNC076335)". The record is from RNAcentral. Lineage: Eukaryota; Viridiplantae; Streptophyta; Magnoliopsida; Arecales; Arecaceae.
CCUCUCUCUCCAGCAAUUCUCCACACCCCAGAAGCAAGAAACCCUAGGAUUUCUUGCCGUCAGGUCCUAAAAAGGAAUGAAAAGCAAGGAGGUGCUAGCCCCUUCCCCUUUGCAGCCACCAACCAGAUUGCUCCCCUCCUCUCUUGUAGCCACCCAAGCAUCAGGUCCAGGACCUGAAAUUUUUUGAGAAGAGGUUGAUACAAGUUCCUCUCAGAUCUGGAGUUGAUCUGAUGUCGUUUGAGGCGUGGG